Molecule: ribosomal RNA, 478 nt
Filed under: uncultured bacterium
Lineage: Bacteria
Description: partial 16S ribosomal RNA
Rfam family: Bacterial small subunit ribosomal RNA
Source: RNAcentral
GACGAACGCUGGCGGCGUGCUUAACACAUGCAAGUCGAACGGUAAGGCCCUUCGGGGUACACGAGUGGCGAACGGGUGAGUAACACGUGGGUGAUCUGCCCUGCACUUCGGGAUAAGCCUGGGAAACUGGGUCUAAUACCGGAUAGGACCACUGCCUGCAUGGGUGGUGGUGGAAAGCUUUUGCGGUGUGGGAGGGGCCCGCGGCCUAUCAGCUUGUUGGUGGGGUGAUGGCCUACCAAGGCGACGACGGGUAGCCGGCCUGAGAGGAUGACCGGCCACACUGGGACGGGGAUACGGCCCGGACUCCUACGGGAGGCAGGAGUGGGGAGUAUUACACAAUGGGCGCGAGCCUGAUGCAGCGACGCCGCGUGAGGGAUGACGGCCUUCGGGUUGUAUACCUCUUUCAGCACCGAAGAAGCGCAAGUGACGGUAGGUGCAGAAGAAGGACCGGCCAACUACGUGCCAGCCGCCGCCGUAA